This 32-nucleotide non-coding RNA is filed under the name Macaca fascicularis (crab-eating macaque). The record is from RNAcentral. RNAcentral also lists the same sequence under 1 other name. Lineage: Eukaryota; Metazoa; Chordata; Mammalia; Primates; Cercopithecidae.
UUGGUGUUUACGAUGAACAUCGGCAUGAUGGU